This 200-nucleotide ribosomal RNA is filed under the name uncultured bacterium. RNAcentral describes it as "partial 16S ribosomal RNA". It matches the Rfam family "Bacterial small subunit ribosomal RNA", at positions 28 to 248 of the family's 1533-position model. The record is from RNAcentral.
GACGAACGCUGGCGGCGUGCCUAAUGCAUGCAAGUCGCACGGGGUCUUCGGACCCGGUGGCGCACGGCUGAGGAGCACGUGGCUGACCUACCCCGGCGUGGGGGAUAACGGGCCGAAAGGCUCGCUAAUCCCGCAUACGAUCACCCUCGCGGGUGAGGAAAGCUUCGGCGCGCUGGGCGGGGCCGCGUCCCAUUAGGUUG